AUGAACGCUGGCGGCGUGCUUAAUACAUGCAAGUCGAACGAAGCUCCUUAUCUUCGGACGAGGAGUCUUAGUGGCGAACGGGUGAGUAACGCGUUGGUGACCUGCCCCGAAGAGAGGGAUACCAGUUCGAAAGGACUGCUAAUACCGCAUAAUAUUGUACAGAUUAGAAGCUGGGCAAUGAAAAGGAGAAAUCCGCUUUGGGAGGGGCCUGCGUCCCAUCAGCUAGUUGGUAGGGUAAAAGCCUACCAAGGCGAUGACGGGUAGGGGACCUGAGAGGGUGGCCCCCCACAAUGGAACUGAAACACGGUCCAUACACCUACGGGUGGCAGCAGUAGGGAAUAUUGGUUAAUGGGCGAAAGCCUGAACCAGCAACGCCGCGUGCACGAUGAAGGCCUUCGGGUUGUAAAGUGCUUUUUGAAGGGAAGAGGAAGGACGGUACCUUCAGAAUAAGUCUCGGCUAACUACGU
This 467-nucleotide ribosomal RNA is filed under the name uncultured bacterium. RNAcentral describes it as "bacterial SSU rRNA". It matches the Rfam family "Bacterial small subunit ribosomal RNA", at positions 29 to 506 of the family's 1533-position model. The record is from RNAcentral.